UCCGAUAAAGGCAAACCCAUCGUGAGAUGGGGACGCAAAGCCACGGGUCAGAAACUUCUGAUCGCCGGGUUACCGAAG
RNAcentral lists this non-coding RNA (78 nucleotides) under Nitrospinota bacterium. Its description in RNAcentral is "Nitrospira bacterium c-di-GMP sequence". It matches the Rfam family "c-di-GMP-I-GGC riboswitch aptamer". The record is from RNAcentral. Lineage: Bacteria; Pseudomonadati; Nitrospinota.